GAUGAACGCUGGCGGCGUGCCUAAUACAUGCAAGUAGAACGCUGAAGGAAGGAGCUUGCUCUUUCCGGAUGAGUUGCGCACGGGUGAGUAACGCGUAGGUAACCUGCCUGGUAGCGGGGGAUAACUAUUGGAAACGAUAGCUAAUACCGCAUAACAGUAGAUGUUGCAUGAUAUCUACUUAAAAGGUGCAAUUGCACCACUACCAGAUGGACCUGCGUUGUAUUAGCUAGUUGGUGAGGUAACGGCUCACCAAGGCGACGAUACAUAGCCGACCUGAGAGGGUGAUCGGCCACACUGGGACUGAGACACGGCCCAGACUCCUACGGGAGGCAGCAGUAGGGAAUCUUCGGCAAUGGACGGAAGUCUGACCGAGCAACGCCGCGUGAGUGAAGAAGGUUGUCGGAUCGUAAAGCUCUGUUGUAAGAGAAGAACGAGUGUGAGAGUGGAAAGUUCACACUGUGACGGUAGCUGACCAGAAAGGGACGGCUAACUACGUG
RNAcentral lists this ribosomal RNA (497 nucleotides) under uncultured bacterium. RNAcentral's name for it is "partial 16S ribosomal RNA". It matches the Rfam family "Bacterial small subunit ribosomal RNA", at positions 28 to 507 of the family's 1533-position model. The record is from RNAcentral.